Molecule: long non-coding RNA, 1260 nt
Organism: Patiria miniata (bat star)
Lineage: Eukaryota; Metazoa; Echinodermata; Asteroidea; Valvatida; Asterinidae
Exons: 4
Source: RefSeq, a predicted model, not a curated record
GACAGAUGAACGGAUGACCUGCUUGCUGGGCUUCCCAUUACUGACUAUCAGAAAAAUGAGGACCAUUGACUGAUGAGAGAAUUGCUCUACUGGGGUUGAUAGCCUGCCUCAAGACAUCGUCAGGGCUCCAACAGCCUUAUCACACAGAAACUCGAGGAACCGAAAGCAGGGAGGAGGACCGACAGAUGAACGGAUGACCUGCUUGCUGGGCUUCCCAUUACUAAUUCUUGAGACAUGAGGACCAUUGGCUGGCCCUAUGAUGGAUGAGCCUGCCUCAAGCUGCCUCAAGCUGCCAUAAGUUAGGAGGACCGACGGUUGACUGACUCUGCCUGCUCUGUUGGCCAUUACCGAUUCUUGAGAAGAUGAGGACCGCCAAGCUUGGAUGAGACUGGACAAUUACGAAGCUGCUGUAUCUGGACAAGGAUGCCCUCAUCAGAUACUUUCCAAGUGCGGAAUAUUGGAUCAAAAAUCAGAAUGCAUAUUAUUUUGCAAUAUUAUAAAACAUAAAAACGACGAAAAUACGAAUUCUUACGCCAAAGUUGCCGCUAUAAUUGGAAGAAAUAAUAACUUAAAUCACUGUUACUUGUUAACUUUACUAAGAUACCUAUACCUGAAAUAUUAGACGACGAAUAUGACAAAAAUUAAGAAAAAAAGUCAAAUGUGUGUAAAAUACAUUGCAGUGAAAAUCAAAUCAUGAGCGGAUUUUCUUCUCACAGAAAUGCUUCUCCGCUUCCAACAAGUGGCUGAGAAAAAGAUGAAAUUUACGCCGAAAAUAACUGAAAUCAGUGUUGCUUUUACCUUCACUGCGACACCUACCCGAAAUAUUUGACUACACGCGUGUGACGAAAUGUGGAAACAAAAAUCAAAUUGGUCCAAAUUAAAUUACAACGAAAAUCACAUAGUACGUGGAGUUUCUUCUCGCAGCACGGCACUCUGUUUCUACAGGUAGCUUCAGGAAAAUUACGAAAAUUACACCGAAAAUCAACGCGGCAUAUAAGUGAAGUGACAAAACAUAGUUAACACGGCUAAAAAAAAUCACAGCGUUAGUGAGAGAAAUAAUACUUGAUAUCAGUGUUAUUUUUCUUACCUACAAAGUAAAAAAAUCGAUUGCGGAAGGACAAAAUUAAAGAGACGAAAAUUACGGUAAAAAGAUUAACAGCGGCAGCGAAAUAAAUAAAUAUUUGAAAAUCGGUAAUUUUUAAAACUUCUUGGCCCUAUGCCAUGCAAAAAUUUGCUAAGGAAAAAUGACCGAAAUAAUGU